UGGGGAAUCUUGCACAAUGGGGGCAACCCUGAUGCAGCAACGCCGCGUGAGUGAUGACGGCCUUCGGGUUGUAAAGCUCUGUCUUCAGGGACGAUAAUGACGGUACCUGAGGAGGAAGCCACGGCUAACUACGUGCCAGCAGCCGCGGUAAUACGUAGGUGGCAAGCGUUGUCCGGAUUUACUGGGCGUAAAGGGAGCGUAGGCGGACUUUUAAGUGAGAUGUGAAAUACCCGGGCUCAACCUGGGUGCUGCAUUUCAAACUGGAAGUCUAGAGUGCAGGAGAGGAGAGUGGAAUUCCUAGUGGAGCGGUGAAAUGCGUAGAGAUUAGGAAGAACACCAGUGGCGAAGGCGACUCUCUGGACUGUAACUGACGCUGAGGCUCGAAAGCGUGGGGAGCAAACA
RNAcentral lists this ribosomal RNA (402 nucleotides) under uncultured bacterium. RNAcentral's name for it is "bacterial SSU rRNA". It matches the Rfam family "Bacterial small subunit ribosomal RNA", at positions 355 to 774 of the family's 1533-position model. The record is from RNAcentral.